This is a non-coding RNA of Pelobates cultripes (western spadefoot toad), 215 nucleotides long. NCBI's taxonomy places the organism in Eukaryota, Metazoa, Chordata, Amphibia, Anura, Pelobatidae. The record is from the annotation of a GenBank genome assembly.
AAAAGGGAAUCAUGCCAAUCCUGAGAUAGAAAUGAAAAAAAAAACGUAUUUAAAAAAAACAAAACUGAAUUUAUUGAACAUUGAAAAAAUCACCUAUAACAUGUGUUAACCUUUUUCCAUCCCAUACUCUGUUUGUUUUCUUUUAAAGGACAACUGUUAUGUCAAAAUAUUUUUUUAAUAUCCUUUCAUUAAAUGGACACUAUAGGCACCAAAAC